This is a long non-coding RNA of Zingiber officinale, 936 nucleotides long. RefSeq lists it as uncharacterized. The record is from RefSeq and is a predicted model, not a curated record. NCBI's taxonomy places the organism in Eukaryota, Viridiplantae, Streptophyta, Magnoliopsida, Zingiberales, Zingiberaceae. The transcript is spliced from 2 exons.
CCUGUCCAAGUCUACAGUAGCAACACUUAUUAAAACAAAUUCUUCUCUAAGAUGCAAUUCCCACUACCAGACCCUCUUCUUUUUCCCUCCACCUAUCUCUCAUUUCUACUCUCCAAGCAGGCCUCUCUCUCUCUCACACCAUACCAGACCCUCUCCUUUCCUUGCCUAUAAGAAGCCUUCCUCUUCUGCUGCUUCAGAAGGCAUCGAGCAAUCCCUUCUCUCUUCAGCAGCAACGCAAGAGUUUGCAGUCUCUUAGUUCUGAAAUACAAGAACACACAAAGUUUGAAGAGCUUGUUGCUUAGCCUGAUCAAGUUGGCAUGUUUAGUGGUUUGGAGGUUCAUUAAGAUUGGAUUAGGAUGAUAGGGGACAUCCAAGAGACCAUAAGACAAGGAGCAGUAAGGUGGUGCUGAAGCAGCUCUAGAGCAUUGAUUUGGUGUAGUCAUGUUGGCAACUCAAUAGCUCGAGGUCCAUAUAGAGUGAAGAAGUUGCACGAGGCACUCAAGGACCACAAGAUGAGAAGCAUGAAAGCAAUGGAUGACAACCCUUUAAGGUGGACUACAUAGGCAUAAGACAUGAAGGAUGACAUGUGAAGGAGCCGAGGGACCAGCUACAUUUGAGAAAUGUAUGACCCAAUUGUAGAUAUCUAAAGGCGAACUCAAGUUACAAUGAUAAGACUCCAACGACUUGAGUGUCGAGUAAUAUAUAUCUCUAGGGACGAGGGUAGAACUCAUCAUAGGGGCACUACAAGAAAUUCAGUAAUUUACUUCACUAAAUACAUUUAGCAACAAAUUAGAGAUCAAAUUGGUUGUUAUUUUCUUUGUCACUAAUUUUUAACGACCGCAUGUAAUAGGUCGGUUGCUAAUUUAGUGACAAUUUUAAUUUGGUUCCUAAAUUUAAAGAUUGAAGAAUAAAGUUCGAUCGCUAAAUUUAUGAAUA